GAUUAACGUUGGCAGUGCGCCUAACACAUGCAAGUCGAGUGAUAUAGCGGCAGACGAGAGAGUAAUAGUAAGGAACUUACCCCCGAGUGAAGGAUAGCCAGCCGAAGGGUUGGGUAAUCCUGCAUAAUAUCGAAAGAUCAAAGCCUUCGGGCGCUUGGGGAGAGGCCUUACUCCUAUCAGCUAGUUGGUGAGGUAAAGGCUCACCAAGGCGAUGACGGGUAGCUGGUCUGAGAGGAUGAUCAGCCUCGAUGGGACUGAGACACGGCCCAUACUCCUACGGGAGGCAGCAGUUGGGGAUUUUGCACAAUGGAGGAAACUCUGAUGCAGCGACACUGCGUGAAGGAUGAAGGUUUUCGGAUCGUAAACUUCUUUUAGUGGGGAGUAAUCUUGAAGUACCCACUGAAUAAGGACCGGCUAACUACGUGCCAGCAGCCGCGGUAAU
RNAcentral lists this ribosomal RNA (442 nucleotides) under uncultured bacterium. Its description in RNAcentral is "bacterial SSU rRNA". It matches the Rfam family "Bacterial small subunit ribosomal RNA", at positions 28 to 524 of the family's 1533-position model. The record is from RNAcentral.